Molecule: non-coding RNA, 115 nt
Filed under: uncultured Deefgea sp.
Lineage: Bacteria; Pseudomonadati; Pseudomonadota; Betaproteobacteria; Neisseriales; Chitinibacteraceae
Description: ALIL pseudoknot
Rfam family: ALIL pseudoknot
Source: RNAcentral
GCGUAUUUCGCACAGGCGGAGCUCGACCGCCGCUUGAAAUCGUAAGAGGAUUCAUCGAUACCCACCGUGAGCAGCACGGGGUCGAGCCGAUCUGCAAGCUGUUACAGGUCGCCCC